Molecule: small RNA, 2578 nt
Filed under: Histoplasma capsulatum
Lineage: Eukaryota; Fungi; Ascomycota; Eurotiomycetes; Onygenales; Ajellomycetaceae
Also listed under: 1 other name
Description: hypothetical RNA
Source: RNAcentral
UGCAUUAACAUGUAUGAUAUCCGUCUUACAGAUGAGUACAGCGCAUGUGGGAUGAAUUGGCCUCCUGACUUGGAGAAUAUUGAACCGUAUCUCCGGUUUAAGAAUGUCACCGAAGCGUUACAUAUUAAUAGCGACAAACAAACUGGCUGGUCUGAAUGCUCUGGUGCAGUAGGUGGCCAUUUCAGGGCCCUGAAAUCCAAGCCAUCCGUCGAGCUGCUACCUGGACUUCUCGAGGAGGGCCUUCCGAUUCUUCUAUUCAGUGGACAGAAGGACCUGAUAUGCAAUCACAUCGGCACUGAAGACCUGAUCAAGGACAUGAAAUGGUCUGGAGGGACAGGAUUCGAACUCUCGCCCGGUAUCUGGGCGCCACGACAAGAUUGGACCUUCGAAGGUGAAUCGGCAGGAUUCUAUCAAAAGGCCCGAAAUCUGACAUACGUCUUAUUCUACAACGCAAGCCACAUGGUGCCGUUCAACUACCCACGCCGCUCGCGCGAGAUGCUCGACAGAUUCAUGGGAGUUGAUAUUGCGGACAUUGGCGGCAACCCUGCCGACUCUCGAAUCGACGGCGAAAAGGGCCCCGCAACCUCCGUCGGCGCGCAUCCAAACAGUACAGCAGCCGCCGAGCGCGAGAAGGAGAAGGUGAAGUCCGCCAUGUGGAAGGCAUAUUACAAAUCCGGGGAAGUGGCGCUUAUUGUCGUCGCCAUCGCCGCUAUCAUAUGGGGCGUUUUCAUCUGGCGAUCGCGUCAGAAGGACCAGGACAGAGGAUACGAGUUCCGGGGCAUCUACCCGAUGCUGGGGUCGAGUAGCUCGGGAUCCCUUCCUAGAUAUUCGAAUAAACGGGGUAGACGUGGGCAUGAUGUUGAGGCGGUAAAUAUCUACGAGGCGGAGUUGGAUGAGCGGCCAAGUCGGGUUGUUUCGGCGAGGUCGAGUAGAGAGCAGGAGCCUUAUGUUGUUGGAGAUGAGGACGGGAGUGAUGUGGAUGAUGAUACGUCUGACGAACGGAAAGGGCUCGUUGAUAAACCCUAAAGCAAAGGGGAAGGGGAAAAGGAGGAGCGUGGUUUACCUGGAACACAUCAUGCUCCUGGGAAUUUCUCUCAGGGUUUUGCCUCAGUACAGCCUUAUAUCUGGCUCACUGGCCCAACAACCGAACGGACUUCAUAUUCCACAGAACACAACCAUCUAGCUGCUUACUUAUCUAUCUCCUACCUUCCCACCACCUCAGCUCAGCUAUUCUCCAUCUUCUAUUCUCUCCUUGUCCUUUCUACUUUUUAUAUACUUUAAUCCAUGAACUAUCCCUUUCUUUUUCAUAUAUCGCAAAUUAUUUUGUUCUGUUUAUAUAAUAUAUUCACGGCCCUUUUAUACAUCCUUGAUAUCCUUCUUUUUUUUUAUUAUUAUUAUUCUUUAAAUUUAUGGUGUUCAGGGAUCUUUCUUCGCCAUUUCUACUUUUAUUUUCAUUUUCAUUUUUACUUUAUUCAAUUUGUCAUUUUGGCUUGUUUCUUCCCCCUUUUUAUUUCAUAACUAAUGCCAUAAGGCUUGUUAGGCUUCAUUUCUAGAUAUUUACAAGUCAGAUAUAUUUGUCCCAUUUCGUUAUCAUGUCUUCCCGCGGUUUUCUUACUUGUUGACAUUCUAUUACGCAAGCAAGGUGUUUCUGUGCAGGGUAUCUAGGGCUAUACAGGGCCCUUCCUUCAGAAACAAAGGACCGUUCAAUAACAUUUGGAAGUGUUUAUUGUCCGGUAAAUUCGCAUCUGAGCGGUUAAUUAAUAUAUUAUUGUUCUCCAUUGCUAGUUCCCGGGGGGAUUAUUCGUGGACUAGAUUCUCGGAGAAUAACAUAUAGUUACCGUGAUGAAAACGGGAGAUGUACCUUCAGAGCAUAUUAUUUUAUAAGUAAUCUAAAUUGAUCCAACUCUGUUCUGAAAAUGCGAAACGAUGAACGAAGUUUACAUUAUAGACCACCACCACCACCACCAUCAUCAUCAUCCUGAUCAUCUCUCCAGCCUCCAAACCUUCACAUCUCCACCAUCACCCGUACUUAUCAGGACCUCCUCCUCUUCUCCCUCCUUACGCCCUUUAUCAGCCCGCAGUGCCCAGCACACAUGAUUAACCUCGUAGAUGCCGUGCGCAGCAUCGAUCAUAGCGAGGACGUGCCAUUCUGUUUGAGGGGUAGCCGUGGGCCCUGGUCGCGUCCGCGCUUGUUCUUCUGCUCGUGCAUUAUCACCAUUCUUCUCGAUACUACCUACAUCUGCCGGUGGUGAGGGAGCAUCCGUAUCCAAGUUCAUAUUACCAUUUGCGUUCGUAGUUGGAGAAGCCUCUUCUGGCCCCUGUGCUUCAACAAAUCGCUCCUGGUAUACUACAAUCCUCCCAUCCGCGCCUGUCGACGCGAUCAGCCCGGUCCGUUUACUCCAUGCAACGGAGUAGAUGGACAGAUCGUGCCGGCGUGGUAAUUGGGACUGCUCAAGCCACUUUUCGUCAAUAUCGGCUGGGCGGAUAAUGCUGGGCAUCGACGCAGGGCCGGAUUUGGCGGUUGCAGGAUGGCGAGCUUGUUUAGCCCAUAUGCGAAUCGUGCGGUCGUCGGAGCAGG